This 2280-nucleotide long non-coding RNA is filed under the name Equus caballus (horse). RNAcentral's name for it is "lncRNA (ENSECAG00000050577.1)". The record is from RNAcentral. Lineage: Eukaryota; Metazoa; Chordata; Mammalia; Perissodactyla; Equidae.
GCUGAACCUUUGACAACAAAGGAGUGACGAUAGAAAAGGUGCUGCUUACUUGUGGUUAUUUGAGGAUCCACAAGAUAAUCUACUGAAGAGUUUCACAACCCAUGGUUGUGAUGCUAUUUGAACACCUACCCAGAAUUCAACAGAAAGGGAUAAAAAAGCAGAAGGAAUCAGACCGCAGUAAGUAAGGCUGCCCACCCUGAGAACACUGUUCCAGAGAGUUCUGCCACUCACCCAAUGCUCACAGACACAGGAACAUGAGUCAUCAAUGAGACACUGUUACCACCCGCCUUUCUCCCCCAAGCCUCCCUAAAAAAAAGGAGGAAAUGGCCUCUGACAUUGGGAUGUAUGAACAAGAGUUCCACACACGGCAGAAAGCAUGAGAACUUCUGCCACAGACUUCCGCACUGGUUAUAGGAUGCUGGCCUCAUGUUUGGUUUUCAAACCUCAAAUCUAAAGAAAAUGUCACUUGAAGUAUGAUUUGUUGUGAGCAAUAUAAAGGCUGAUUCAGAAGGAAAAACAAAGCCCAAAUAGAACUACUGUUAUAUGACUUCUAUGAUUUUUUAAAUAAUUAUAAUUUUUAAAAGGGAUAUUUGGCCAUUGAAAGAAGGAAAAUGAAAAGAGCUAUAAUUGCCUUUAAAGCGCAUAAAGUAAUAUUAUGGAAGAAAAAAGUUCAAUUCACCACAUUGGUCAAUAAAGCUGGAAUGAGAUGAAUUAAGCUUGUUCAAAGAAAAGUUUGAUUGAAGAUUACAAAAAACUCUAAUUAUGAGGAAAGGAAAGACGAUUCUUAGGCAAAUCUGAUAAAGGAGGUUACAAACUUGCGAAUCCUGUGGAUUGAAAUGAGAAACCCAACAAUUAGAGAUGGUUAGGACAAAACAACAUCAUUCCUGGGGGCUGGCCCCAUGGCCGAGUGGUUAAGUUUGCGCGUUCCGCUGCAGGCUGGCCAGUGUUUGGUUGGUUUGAAUCCUGGGAACGGACAUGGCACUGCUCAUCAAACCACGCUGAGGCAGCGUCCCACAUGCCACAACUAGAAGGACCCACAAUGAAGAAUAUGCAACUAUGUACUGGGGGGCUUUGGGGAGAAGAAGGAAAAAAAUAAAAUCUUUAAAAAAAAAAAUCAUUCCUAAAAUGAAUAGGCUUCAUUCCCUGGUAAAAAGGACCUAGAGCCAGCUUUAAAAUCUCUAGCCAUGUUCUUCCCAGACAUUUCAGAACCGUGUGAGUGAAUAUGAGCGGCAAGACUAGCCCUCAACUUACUCCGCUCUAUCUGUAACUCAUCAGAGAAAAGGAUCCUGAAGCUUGUCUUCUCCAAGCGUUGAUCCCCAGGAUGCCAAACGAGAUAUGCUAAUAAUUUGUUCAACAUCUAGAAAGUCAUCCUGGGAAAAAUAUGAUUUUAAGCAAAUUGCAAAUAGAAAGGACUAGAAAUGAUUAGAGACUCAGUCUAUAACUAUAAAACCCAUCUGUGGUUAAAAACUAUUUUUCUGUUUCCUUUCAUUCCACCAGCAAUCUAGAAAGAAUUCAUUUUUAUUUGUUAUUCAGAAAACGUUAGCAUUAGGAAUUGAUACACUGAAGCACGUUGCUUUUUCUGGUCCUCUCUGCUGAUGGGAGAGGACAGGCUACACACCCUGCAAGGAGGACGCCUCCAAACCUUGAGCUGAUAUGCACCAGCUCCUGGCCAACAGCCGUUCUGUGCAACCACAUCUCCUGCUUCCAGGACCUGCCAUUCCCAUCUCUCUUGCUGAAGAAAAGCACACUUUUCUGGAAUUGGCUGUAAACUGGCAUUUGUCCUACUUGUGUCCUAUAGAAUGAGAAAACCUGUUUCAGAGAACAAGAAGUAAAUUCUCCCAAAACAAACUCUUUAAAGUAAGCAGUGUGUGUGCCUUGGUUAUAGACCACAAACCAUGAAAGGGCAUAUCCAUGCGUGAAUUGGCAGUUCACUGGGUCUUGUAAUUCUCACCAGGGAGGCAGGCUAAGCAAACCAAUUAACUAAUUAAACCAAUUAACCAAAUGUGUAAUUAACCUUGAGAACAGAGAUGUCAACAGAAGCACAAUAAAGAAUUUACCCACCUCUUGAAAUUGCUUGGUGGUUUUAAGCCUUUUAAUUUUCUGUCUUAAAGGCAUAUUCACAAAGUGAAAAUAUUCUCUGGGCAUAGGAUUAGUGGCCAAGCAAUGUCUUCAUAUAGAUGGGAUGGAAUCAAGCCCAGAGCAGUGCUUCCCAUCUCAGCUACAGUCCACUAUCCGUAAGUAAAUACACAGGAAUUUUGGAGAACAUCGUCCACAAAACAU